Molecule: ribosomal RNA, 491 nt
Filed under: uncultured bacterium
Lineage: Bacteria
Description: partial 16S ribosomal RNA
Rfam family: Bacterial small subunit ribosomal RNA
Source: RNAcentral
AGUGAACGCUGGCGGUAGGCCUAACACAUGCAAGUCGAACGGCAGCACAGUAAGAGCUUGCUCUUACGGGUGGCGAGUGGCGGACGGGUGAGGAAUACAUCGGAAUCUACUUUUUCGUGGGGGAUAACGUAGGGAAACUUACGCUAAUACCGCAUACGACCUACGGGUGAAAGCAGGGGAUCUUCGGACCUUGCGCGAUUGAAUGAGCCGAUGUCGGAUUAGCUAGUUGGCGGGGUAAAGGCCCACCAAGGCGACGAUCCGUAGCUGGUCUGAGAGGAUGAUCAGCCACACUGGAACUGAGACACGGUCCAGACUCCUACGGGAGGCAGCAGUGGGGAAUAUUGGAUAAUGGGCGCAAGCCUGAUCCAGCCAUACCGCGUGGGUGAAGAAGGCCUUCGGGUUGUAAAGCCCUUUUGUUGGGAAAGAAAAGCAGCAGGUUAAGACCCCGCUGUUCUGACGGUACCCAAAGAAUAAGCACCGGCUAACUUCGU